Molecule: long non-coding RNA, 692 nt
Filed under: Marmota monax (woodchuck)
Lineage: Eukaryota; Metazoa; Chordata; Mammalia; Rodentia; Sciuridae
Source: RNAcentral
AGCUAGAACCUGGGAGGGGCUGGUGCAGUCCUGACCCUGUCCCCUGAGCUGGAGGGCCUGCCUGUCAAAGGCUUCCCGAGAAUCUCCAGCCACCAGAAGGGGGCAGACUGUGACUUCUGAAGCCCAGACACAAUGGUUGGUGAGGAGGCAGGCCGGAGCUGCAGGAGGGCCAGGCUGCACCAGUGCCAAGAGCACCUCAGGAGGAGUGGACCCCACAGGCUGGGCCUGGCUCUCCGAAAGUCGCAGGUGUGGCCUGGAUCAGGGAAUCCCACCGACCUCUCGUCUCAAAUCCAGCCACCCCGCAGGGCGGCCAGGCACGGCCAGGGGCUGCGCGCAGACUGGCUGGGGCUGUGGAAAGCCCAAGAACAGGCCCACGUCCUCACCUGGAUUGUGCCAUUAAUUGGGUGGCAGGAAAAGCUGGUCCCCUAAGCCACCCCUUGACUUGCCCACUGCUCAGGGAGGCCUUAAGACCUCAGAAAGCCCUCAGAGCCACCAAAUGGCCCUGCGAGGAAGACGCGGAUGCAGACCUCUGAGAGGCCCGUGUACAUCCUGGCUCCAGGCGGGAGGUGCUGGGAGAUGGAGAGGCUGGGAGGUGGAGGUCCCCGGCUCAGGCCUCCCCUUUCACCCCCUGAUGCUGUGACUGUGGCAGCUCACAGCCAAGGCCAUCCGUGCUGGUGUCAGCCGACCCCCAG